Non-coding RNA from Arabis alpina (gray rockcress), 96 nucleotides. The record is from Rfam. Lineage: Eukaryota; Viridiplantae; Streptophyta; Magnoliopsida; Brassicales; Brassicaceae.
CAAAGUGAUGAAUUAAAUCACAAUUGUCACUACCUCUGAGGCAUUGUCUUUCCUGUUUUUAGCCUUGUGAUUGCAUCUAAGAACGGAGAUAUGAAG